This is a non-coding RNA of Felis catus (domestic cat), 73 nucleotides long. NCBI's taxonomy places the organism in Eukaryota, Metazoa, Chordata, Mammalia, Carnivora, Felidae. The record is from Rfam.
GCCUGGCUGGCUCAGUAGGUAGAGCGCGCGACUCUUGAUCUCAGGGUCGUGAGUUCGAGCCCCAUGUUGGGCG